This 626-nucleotide ribosomal RNA is filed under the name Bacillus cereus. RNAcentral describes it as "bacterial SSU rRNA". It matches the Rfam family "Bacterial small subunit ribosomal RNA", at positions 112 to 723 of the family's 1533-position model. Lineage: Bacteria; Bacillati; Bacillota; Bacilli; Caryophanales; Bacillaceae. The record is from RNAcentral.
AACACGUGGGUAACCUGCCCAUAAGACUGGGAUAACUCCGGGAAACCGGGGCUAAUACCGGAUAACAUUUUGAACCGCAUGGUUCGAAAUUGAAAGGCGGCUUCGGCUGUCACUUAUGGAUGGACCCGCGUCGCAUUAGCUAGUUGGUGAGGUAACGGCUCACCAAGGCAACGAUGCGUAGCCGACCUGAGAGGGUGAUCGGCCACACUGGGACUGAGACACGGCCCAGACUCCUACGGGAGGCAGCAGUAGGGAAUCUUCCGCAAUGGACGAAAGUCUGACGGAGCAACGCCGCGUGAGUGAUGAAGGCUUUCGGGUCGUAAAACUCUGUUGUUAGGGAAGAACAAGUGCUAGUUGAAUAAGCUGGCACCUUGACGGUACCUAACCAGAAAGCCACGGCUAACUACGUGCCAGCAGCCGCGGUAAUACGUAGGUGGCAAGCGUUAUCCGGAAUUAUUGGGCGUAAAGCGCGCGCAGGUGGUUUCUUAAGUCUGAUGUGAAAGCCCACGGCUCAACCGUGGAGGGUCAUUGGAAACUGGGAGACUUGAGUGCAGAAGAGGAAAGUGGAAUUCCAUGUGUAGCGGUGAAAUGCGUAGAGAUAUGGAGGAACACCAGUGGCGAAGGCG